GUUUACAAAAUCUGGACCGUCAAAAAGUUUGAAACGGGUCAGCAAAAACCAAAGUCUACCUUUGGAGAAGAUUCAUCUAAUAUGGCCAAACUAUUCAUUUGAGGGCCCCGAAACAGGGCUUGUACCGAAGUCUCAGUUAUUUGGGUCUUGUUGUUUGCGUACGGUAGAUGGCUGUAUACCUUCGCCUCCCUAUUUCCAAAUCCGGGAAAUAUUGGGAGUUCUUCUUCUAUUCGAAGCUUCGUGGUGUACAUGUGAUACGCACCAUUCCAUGUCUUGGAUUGAAACUCCCGACUGUCUUUCAACGUUGUUGUAGCUCUGGAACUAAUUCCAGGAAGUAACAUCCUUUUCUCUGGAACCGAUGUAUGAAGUCUUGGAGCAGCUCCGUGUUCUCCUUAUUGGAUUUUGAAAAUUUAUUCCAUUUGCCUUUCCACCCUUUUGUGCUACGGAGUAUGUUAAGUAGAGAUUUUGAUCGCUUAUAAAACCUUUUUGCUCUAGUCUUAGUCC
This 504-nucleotide long non-coding RNA is filed under the name Nicotiana benthamiana. Its description in RNAcentral is "long non-coding RNA (NBEN_LNC008320)". Lineage: Eukaryota; Viridiplantae; Streptophyta; Magnoliopsida; Solanales; Solanaceae. The record is from RNAcentral.